RNAcentral lists this long non-coding RNA (496 nucleotides) under Heterocephalus glaber (naked mole-rat). RNAcentral describes it as "lncRNA (ENSHGLG00000050875.1)". Lineage: Eukaryota; Metazoa; Chordata; Mammalia; Rodentia; Bathyergidae. The record is from RNAcentral.
GAUUAGAGCGGGUGAGGAGGAGGCAGCCCCUGGGGAGAAAGACAAAGGGGAGAAGAGUCCUUGUCUCCUUUGACAAUCUCCCAGUGAGUCUCCCAGAGGGAGAGAAAGAGAGGAGGCGGGCCGAUGGGACGUCUCCCAGGGGCACGGUCCUGGGCCCAGAGGCCGUGGGGGUUUCUCUGACCAAGCGCUUGGAUUUCUGAGAAGUCCCCGGAGGGAGAGAGAACGAGACAGAGAACCCGACGAGAGGGAGGCUGAACUCCCUACUCACCCAGACAUUGGUGACCGAUGUGGAUGUGUAGCGUCAGCAAUGGCAAAGAACAAAUCACAGAUUCAUCCUAACUCUCCAGAAGUCACGUGCUACCUGAGGCUGGUUUGAUCUACUCCCAAGCUAUGCAGCAGAUUUCAUCAGUGCAAUCAUAUCUCCUCUCCUGAAUUCACCUCUCAUUUCAGCCAUGGAGGGCAAUUUCAUGGAAACUCGGGUUCAUCUUCAAGGGAC